GCAGUGCCCUAUCCAGAACGGUACCAAUUGCGUAGAGCAUGUGUCUAAUUGGGUCCAUUCUGGGUAGAGUAAGGCA
This is a non-coding RNA of Otolemur garnettii (small-eared galago), 76 nucleotides long. The record is from Rfam. Lineage: Eukaryota; Metazoa; Chordata; Mammalia; Primates; Galagidae.